RNAcentral lists this ribosomal RNA (393 nucleotides) under uncultured bacterium. Its description in RNAcentral is "partial 16S ribosomal RNA". It matches the Rfam family "Bacterial small subunit ribosomal RNA", at positions 523 to 918 of the family's 1533-position model. The record is from RNAcentral.
AUACGGAGGAUGCAAGCGUUAUCCGGAUUUAUUGGGUUUAAAGGGUGCGUAGGCGGUUUGCUAAGCGGGAGGUGAAAUGCCGGUGCUCAACGUCGGAAGUGCCUCCCGAACUGGUGGACUGGAAUGACUCUGCCGUGGGAGGAAUGUGUAGUGUAGCGGUGAAAUGCUUAGAGAUUACACAGAACACCGAUUGCGAAGGCAUCUCACGAAGGGUUGAUUGACGCUGAGGCACGAAAGCGUGGGGAUCAAACAGGAUUAGAUACCCUGGUAGUCCACGCAGUAAACGAUGGACACUCGUGGUCGGCGACACACUGCCGGUCACCAAGCGAAAGCGAUAAGUGUCCCACCUGGGGAGUACGCCGGCAACGGUGAAACUCAAAUGAAUUGACGGGG